Molecule: ribosomal RNA, 509 nt
Filed under: uncultured bacterium
Lineage: Bacteria
Description: partial 16S ribosomal RNA
Source: RNAcentral
UCGUCACUCCUUAUAACCAGUUACCUCCGUUGAGACUUGGUCGGUACGGCGCACUUCCUUCUUACAGGAUGCCUAACAUUUGAAGAAAAUAAACCCUUCUUGAGGGAGAUGCACAUCUCCCGACUGCCAUGGUUUGCUUAUUCCUGGCCGAUUGAGGCACGGUCGUCGGCGCCAUUAUGCCUCCCAGGUUCGCAAUAGGCCUUAGUAACCCAAAUUUCCCAAGCGUCCGCCAAAUAAUUCAGUCACCACUUUCGGAUGUCGAGUUGACAUCUUGACGGUAACUAUGACUAUCUGAACUUAAAUCAACUUCAUCCGCCUUACACAUCACAUCGCCACUUUACGAAUCUAUAAUGUGUCUUGUGGCUAUCGCUUCCGUCGAAUGAUUUGAUGCUAACUGCGAGUACUUGCUUUCGCACCCCUCGCUUGUCCUAAUCUAUGGGACCAUCAGGUGCGUCAUUUGCACUAAUGAGCAAUAACCGCUAUAUGCCAGUCACUGAUUCGCUUUCACU